This 253-nucleotide ribosomal RNA is filed under the name uncultured bacterium. RNAcentral's name for it is "partial 16S ribosomal RNA". It matches the Rfam family "Bacterial small subunit ribosomal RNA", at positions 524 to 776 of the family's 1533-position model. The record is from RNAcentral.
UACGUAGGGGGCAAGCGUUGUCCGGAUUUACUGGGCGUAAAGAGCGUGUAGGCGGCCACGCAGGUCCGUUGUGAAAACUGGAGGCUCAACCUCCAGCUGUCGACGGAAACCGUAUGGCUAGAGUCCGGAAGAGGAGAGUGGAAUUCCUGGUGUAGCGGUGAAAUGCGCAGAUAUCAGGAGGAACACCGGCGGCGAAGGCGGCACUCUGGGCCGGUACUGACGCUGAGGAGCGAAAGCGUGGGUAGCAAACAGG